UAAAAUUCAGUUCAAAAGAAGUCCGAGUCUGAUGUCAGAAGAUGUAACCAAAGAAAAUUAACAAAAUGACAAUAAUACAUAAAUAACAUCAGACUACUAGCAGUUAACUGACAUGCCAGCUCCGGACUUCAAUUAAACUGAUUGAAAAAUUAUGUCUUCAUCAUAUGAAUAUCAGGCACAAUCCUCCCCGUGAGGGGUUUAGUAUCAUACCAUCAUAACAUAUACGAGAAGAACAUAACCCGUGUCAUGCCAACAACUGGUUUAUUAAUAAAAAAUGUGUUUAGUUCCGAUGCAAAGACCCUAUAAGUGAAUCAAUAUUAACGC
Molecule: long non-coding RNA, 324 nt
Filed under: Mytilus galloprovincialis (Mediterranean mussel)
Lineage: Eukaryota; Metazoa; Mollusca; Bivalvia; Mytilida; Mytilidae
Source: RNAcentral